Molecule: non-coding RNA, 4234 nt
Organism: Zootoca vivipara (common lizard)
Lineage: Eukaryota; Metazoa; Chordata; Lepidosauria; Squamata; Lacertidae
Source: RefSeq, a predicted model, not a curated record
CUCCAGGUAAGAGGCACGGCUGCAAUUCAAGGACACAUUUGCAACCAGGCGAAGACGCUCAAGAAGACCCAGGAGCCAAAGUCUGCAAAGCAACACGGCGCAGAUAAAACGCGAAAAGCUAAAAACAUAUGCGAGAUCAUUGUUGGCAAGUAAUCAAACAAUAACAGAAUCCGAGCGAUAUCGCAAAAAUCUAUUGAAAAUGGAGAUAACAGAGGCAGUAAAAACAUCGCUGCGUUUUUAUCUCCUUAAAAGCAGUCAGUUGGAACAAGAAAGUCUUCAUCUGCCAGCAAAUGGACAGCAAGGAAGGAGCCAGCCUGGCUUCCCUAAGCAGGGAGUUCCAAAGUUGCCUGAGAGGAGCCACCACCAAGAAGGCCCUGCCCAUGUUCCCUGUAAGCAUAAAGCAGCCUUCUCUAUUUUAUCUGUGUUUUUGUAUUUUAUCUGCAAGCCACAGAUUGAGCCCUGGCCUGGAGAAAAGGCAGGAUUAUUAUUAUUAUUAUUAUUAUUAUUAUUAUUAUUAUUAUUAUUAUUUGUGUGGUUGCCCCUGUUCUGGCAACUGCAAUCCACAGUCUCAAGGCAUUUUUGUCCUGGUGGGAUUUCCCAGUUUGGAUAAAUGGGUCUUUUUACCACGAGUGUCUUAUUUGGUUUUCAGUGGUACCUUGGUUCUCAAAUGCCUUGGUACUCAAACAACUUGGAACCCAAAGAUUGCAAACCCGGAAGGAAGCUUUCCGGUUUGUGAACUUUUUUCAGAAGCCGAACAUGCUCUGAUUUGAGUGCCACACUUCCGAUUUGAGUGUUACGCUGAGGUCUGUCUCUUUUUGCUAUUUAUUUUGCAUUUUUGUUUUUGCGGCUCUUUUUGUUUUGUUUUUGUGACUGUGUGGAACCCAGUUCAGCUACUGAUGGCUUGAUUGUGUGACUGCAGUACACUGUUUAUUGCUUUCAUUUUAUGGAUCAACGGUCUCGUUAGAUAGUAAAAUCCAUGUUAAAUUGCUGUUUUUUAAAGCCUGGCACACAUUAAUCCAUUUUGCAUUCCUUUCUAUGGGAAAGCUCGCAUUGGUUUUGGAACGCUUUGGUUUUGGAACGGACUUCAGGAAUGGAUUAAGUUUGAGAAGGAUACCUGAAGGAGCGUCUCCACCCGCAUUGUUCUGCCCGGACACUGAGGUUCAGCACCGAGGGCCUUCUGGCGGUUCCCUCGCUGUGAGAAGCCAAGUGACAGGGAACUAGGCAGAGGGCCUUCUCGGUGGUGGCACCUGCCCUGUGGAACGCCUUUCCAUCAGAUGUCAAGGAAAUAAACAACUAUCUUUACUUUUAGAAGACAUCUGAAGGCAGCCCUGUUUAGGGAAGCUUUUAAUGUUUAAUAGAUUAUUGUAUUUUAAUAUUCUGUUGCGUCGGUGUGAAAUUUUCGGCAGCCAUUUAAAAUGGCUCAAAAACUGGUUUUUUGGUGGGGGGGAUGCUGAAGAACUUGACUCCCCCCCCCCCAAAAAAAGGUCAAUAACUUUUGUGUCCAGAUUUUAACUUCUUGAAAUAACUGGGCUGGAUUGAGGGACCGAGAAAUCGCAACGUUAAAAAAUUGCAUCUCUCGGAAGCUUUACCAGAGGCAACAGCAGAGAAUAUUAUUAUUAUUAUUAUUAUUAUUAUUAUUAUUAUUAUUCCCCACUUUUUUCCUGAUGGGAUUCAAGGCGGCUUACAGACAAAAAUAAGAUCCCCCAAAACCAGUCUUUUAAAACAUUGAUGGGAUUAAAACUAUAUGCAUCAAUAAAAUCUUCCAAGUUCCAAAAGCUUUCCUUGCCACAUAUAUUUAACCCUGCGUUUAUUUGAACGGAAACGUCCCCCUAAUCCCUGGACGUUUAUAGUUCUAUAAAACAUGACGGACAUCCCUUUUAUUAUUUCGGAUUUUAUUGCGCUGGACUAGCCCUUUAAAAGGGGGGGGAAAGCAGCCAGAUUCUGAACCAACAAGUACACGUUUGGGGGAAAAUAUUCUUAUUUUAUUAUCCAAGAGCUUGACGGGUGGAAGGAAGGAAGGCAGGUUGCAGCCGGUUUGCCAGACCAAUCCAAAUAACUUUAUUGUGCUGCUUGCAUUUUUGCAUUUCAAGUAUUGAUCUGGCACACUUAUUGAUUUAAAAUCGCAUGCGUGACCUAGAUGCCCCCCCCCUACAGUGGUACCUUGGUUCUCAAACGCCUUGGUUCCCAAAUGCCGAAAACCCAGAAAUAAGUGUUCUGGUUUUCAAACGUUUUUCGGAAGCCAAACAUCCAAUACGGCUGUCGGCUGUUGUUUCCGGGGCGCAUGUAUGGUUUCCAAACAUUUUGGAAGUCAAACGGACUUCCAGAACGGAUUAAGUUCAAGAACCAAGGUACCACUGUAUUUGGCUCUUUAGGUUUUGCUAUUUAUUUUGUGUUAUUAUUUCUGAGGCUUUUUCGGUUCAUUUGUUUUUGUGACUGUGCGGAACCCAGUUCAGCUGAUUGAUUGAUUGUGCGACUGCGGAAACUGAUAAAAGCUCCCCAUCGAAACAAUGACUAUCAUCAGAGCAAAUCUCACCAACUAAAAUUACAAUAAAACCCCCCACAAAAUAAAUCCUGGGGAGAGAUUCCACAAAAGGGGAGCCACCACAGAAAAGGCCCUGUCUUUUCCAGCUCUUUCAGCUAAGAAUCUGGAGACGAAAGGGAUUGAAACCGGGGUCUUCUGCGUGAAAAACAGGCCGCCUUCCACCUGCUUCAAGGCCUUAAAAAUAAGGAUUCUAGUCCUCGUGGUUCUGGAUAAACAGAAACGUUGUUGUUUAGUCGUUUAGUCGUGUCCGACUCUUCGUGACCCCAUGGACCAGAGCACACCAGGAACAUAGGCCCUGCUUAUACCAAGUCGGACCGCUGCACUGCAGCUCAGUAUUGCCUUCCCCGCCUGGUAGCAUCUGUCCAGGGGUGCGGGCAGAGAGAUGCUCUUCCAACGUGCAAAAAAGACCUGGAGACUAAACCCAGAGCCUUCUGCAUGCCAAACAGAUGUCCUCCCACUUGCCCUUCCUUUAAAACAAACUAAGUGUCCAGUCCUCAAGGGAAUAAAUGUUUUCAAACAGAGGCCUUUUCCCGGCCCGACCCGAAGACGCCAGAGAUCGAACCUGGGGCCUUCGAAAUGCCAAGCAGGUGCUCUCCCACCGAGCCACCCAGAGGGGAUCAAGGAAGGGAGCCUUUCGCCGAAAUCCCCGAGCUGCAGACGGACACACUCUGAGCCGGCACUGUCGCAGUGUUCAGUUUCACUCCACAUCCUCGCUUUGUACGUGUGCAGAAACUGUGUUUCCCCCCCAACAAGCUUUUCAGCUGUGUGUAUGUGUGUAUUUGUGUACGUAUGGGUAUCUGACUGUCCCACCAGCGACAAUGAGUUUUCCUUGGCGUGGGCUGAGCAUCACACUUUUUUUUUUUCGGGGGGAAGGGGGCUAAAACCCCACCACCUCCUUGGACAAAACUCUCACCCUGAAGAGGAAAUGUAAACUUCCUGUAUCAGGAGUGGAGCAUUUCCGUGCUUCCCUGAACCACCAAGAAACAUCACCUCCUGUCUUUUCAGGGGGACGGAUGAGAUUCGUUCCAAGAAUGAAAGCUAAAUUUUGCGUUUACAACCCUCGAGGGUCUGGUGUGUGUGUGCUUGUGUGUGUGUGCAGGGAAAUCCACUUUCUCCUUUCCACUUUCUCCUUUUCUGGUCUCAGCAGACGCACAGCCACCUUUUCCCGCCCACACCAAAUGUUCCUCUGCAAGCUGGAGAAAGUUCGGAGGACCGAAACACCAAAUUUCGAUGGCCGGGAAAGUCCUCCUUGCGGAAAUUUAAUAGGGCCAUCCAGCCAACUAAGGCCUUUUUUUAAAAAAAAAGAGUGGGAGAAAGAAUUAAAAUAAAGCUUUUAAGGCUUUUAAAGCAAUCCCCCCCCUUGUUUGGAGAGAUUUCUGGCAAAGAUCUGAGUGAUCUGGCAAUGGGCCACAGUUGGAGGAUGAGAGCAGGCCACCCUCACGACUUUCUAACAUUAAUUAUUGGGAUUAAAAAGAAGGAAGAAUUCACUGUAGAGAAUUUACUUUGAUCAAGAUUUCUCAUUGUUCUUAAGACAAAGCAGCAGGGUUUUUUUUUGUGUGUGUGUGUGUGUACGGAUAUGGGAGAGAUUUGCCCUUGUUUUGGCAUGUAGGAAUAUCUCGCCAUUUCCAACUUUGCAAGGUUUACACACUCAGUCUUAAUUUCCAUUCCCAAACUUCCAUUUUUCUCUAUUGU